CCCGGUGAGGCAGGGGGGCAAGCCCCGAGGGAUGAGCAGUGUGUGGGGAGUUUAAUCGGGUCGGUACACCUGUCAAAGCUAACACAGUUGUCCUGCGGUGAGCUCAGAGAGGAUGGAAACUUCCUGCACAGCAGAAGGGCAAAAGCUCACUUGAUCUUGAUUUUCAGUACAAAUACAGACCAUGAAAGUGGGGCCUCAUGAUCCUUCUGGCUUUUUUAGUUUUAAGCAAUAAGCAUCAGAAAACUUACCACAGGUGUAACUGGUAUGUGGCGGCCAAGCAUUCAUAGCAACGUCACGUUUUGAUCCUUUGAUGUCGGCUCUUCCUAUCAUUGUGAAGCAGAAUUCACCAAGCGUGGGCUUGUCCACCCAGUAAUAGGGAACUUGAGCUAGGUUUAAACUGUCGUGAGACAGGUUAGUU
Molecule: non-coding RNA, 418 nt
Filed under: Balearica regulorum gibbericeps (East African grey crowned-crane)
Lineage: Eukaryota; Metazoa; Chordata; Aves; Gruiformes; Gruidae
Description: Balearica pavonina gibbericeps Eukaryotic large subunit ribosomal RNA
Rfam family: Eukaryotic large subunit ribosomal RNA
Source: Rfam by way of RNAcentral